RNAcentral lists this ribosomal RNA (1125 nucleotides) under Haemophilus influenzae. RNAcentral's name for it is "bacterial SSU rRNA". It matches the Rfam family "Bacterial small subunit ribosomal RNA", at positions 8 to 1124 of the family's 1533-position model. The record is from RNAcentral. Lineage: Bacteria; Pseudomonadati; Pseudomonadota; Gammaproteobacteria; Pasteurellales; Pasteurellaceae.
AGAGUUUGAUCAUGGCUCAGAUUGAACGCUGGCGGCAGGCUUAACACAUGCAAGUCGAACGGUAGCAGGAGAAAGCUUGCUUUCUUGCUGACGAGUGGCGGACGGGUGAGUAAUGCUUGGGAAUCUGGCUUAUGGAGGGGGAUAACGACGGGAAACUGUCGCUAAUACCGCGUAUUAUCGGAAGAUGAAAGUGCGGGACUGAGAGGCCGCAUGCCAUAGGAUGAGCCCAAGUGGGAUUAGGUAGUUGGUGGGGUAAAGGCCUACCAAGCCUGCGAUCUCUAGCUGGUCUGAGAGGAUGACCAGCCACACUGGAACUGAGACACGGUCCAGACUCCUACGGGAGGCAGCAGUGGGGAAUAUUGCGCAAUGGGGGGAACCCUGACGCAGCCAUGCCGCGUGAAUGAAGAAGGCCUUAGGGUUGUAAAGUUCUUUCGGUAUUGAGGAAGGUUGAUGUGUUAAUAGCACAUCAAAUUGACGUUAAAUACAGAAGAAGCACCGGCUAACUCCGUGCCAGCAGCCGCGGUAAUACGGAGGGUGCGAGCGUUAAUCGGAAUAACUGGGCGUAAAGGGCACGCAGGCGGUUAUUUAAGUGAGGUGUGAAAGCCCUGGGCUUAACCUGGGAAUUGCAUUUCAGACUGGGUAACUAGAGUACUUUAGGGAGGGGUAGAAUUCCACGUGUAGCGGUGAAAUGCGUAGAGAUGUGGAGGAAUACCGAAGGCGAAGGCAGCCCCUUGGGAAUGUACUGACGCUCAUGUGCGAAAGCGUGGGGAGCAAACAGGAUUAGAUACCCUGGUAGUCCACGCUGUAAACGCUGUCGAUUUGGGGGUUGGGGUUUAACUCUGGCGCCCGUAGCUAACGUGAUAAAUCGACCGCCUGGGGAGUACGGCCGCAAGGUUAAAACUCAAAUGAAUUGACGGGGGCCCGCACAAGCGGUGGAGCAUGUGGUUUAAUUCGAUGCAACGCGAAGAACCUUACCUACUCUUGACAUCCUAAGAAGAGCUCAGAGAUGAGCUUGUGCCUUCGGGAACUUAGAGACAGGUGCUGCAUGGCUGUCGUCAGCUCGUGUUGUGAAAUGUUGGGUUAAGUCCCGCAACGAGCGCAACCCUUAUCCUUUGUUGCCAGCGA